GUAGAUUGGUUGGUGAGGAAUGGUCGGACCUGAAACUUGAAGGUAAAAAUGAGGACACAAGAUACAGAUUUAUACAGGUUCUGGCCACUAGAGUAGCGUAAUACCCUACGUCCUAUUUUGGGGUGUUGUAUAUUGCGCCAUGCGCUUGGGUGUUGUUUGGUACUGAGGAUUUGGUCCUUUGUUAUGGUUCUAUGAGGUCUUCGCCUCUGUUUGUCUGAGUUGUUGAUCUAGGUACCCCUGCCCUCCUUUAUAUACUCAAGGGGUGGGAUUACUAGUCGGUUACAAGGAGUUCUAGUAGCAAUACAUGGUAUGAGCCCUAGUAGGAUUACAUAGGAAUCCUAGUAGGAGUCCAUCUUCUUCCUUCCUUGCGGAUACUGGGGAUCUAUCCCUGACAAGCCCCCGAGCGCUUCAU
This 412-nucleotide long non-coding RNA is filed under the name Setaria viridis. RNAcentral's name for it is "long non-coding RNA (SVIR_LNC002970)". Lineage: Eukaryota; Viridiplantae; Streptophyta; Magnoliopsida; Poales; Poaceae. The record is from RNAcentral.